GGUCACGUGAUGGAGUUGGUCACCAUACCUGUCUAACACACAGGAGGUCGGCAGUUCGAUCCUGCCCGGGAUCA
This 74-nucleotide transfer RNA is filed under the name Kwoniella bestiolae CBS 10118. RNAcentral describes it as "tRNA-Val (AAC) (tRNA-Val-AAC-1 1 to 3)". RNAcentral also lists the same sequence under 5 other names. Lineage: Eukaryota; Fungi; Basidiomycota; Tremellomycetes; Tremellales; Cryptococcaceae. The record is from RNAcentral.